This 427-nucleotide ribosomal RNA is filed under the name uncultured bacterium. RNAcentral's name for it is "partial 16S ribosomal RNA". It matches the Rfam family "Bacterial small subunit ribosomal RNA", at positions 355 to 774 of the family's 1533-position model. The record is from RNAcentral.
UGGGGAAUAUUGGACAAUGGGCGCAAGCCUGAUGCAGCCAUGCCGCGUGUAUGAAGAAGGCCUUCGGGUUGUAAAGUACUUUCAGCGAGGAGGAAGGUGUUGUGGUUAAUAACCACAGCAAUUGACGUUACUCGCAGAAGAAGCACCGGCUAACUCCGUGCCAGCAGCCGCGGUAAUACGGAGGGUGCAAGCGUUAAUCGGAAUUACUGGGCGUAAAGCGCACGCAGGCGGUCUGUCAAGUCGGAUGUGAAAUCCCCGGGCUCAACCUGGGAACUGCAUCCGAAACUGGCAGGCUAGAGUCUUGUAGAGGGGGGUAGAAUUCCAGGUGUAGCGGUGAAAUGCGUAGAGAUCUGGAGGAAUACCGGUGGCGAAGGCGGCCCCCUGGACAAAGACUGACGCUCAGGUGCGAAAGCGUGGGGAGCAAACA